UCAAGCUAAAAAGAGCGCAGGGUGAAUGCCUUGGCACUGGGAGCCGACGAAGGACGCGAUAAGCUGCGAAAAGCUGCGGGGAUCAGCAAGUAUGAAAUGAUCCGCAGAUGUCCGAAUGGAGCAAUCCGCCGGAAUAAAGCUCCGGCAUCAUACACUGAAUCCAUAGGUGUAUGAGGGGAACCGCCUGAACUGAAACAUCUAAGUAGGGCGAGGAAGAGAAAUCAACCGAGAUUCCGCUAGUAGUGGCGAGCGAACGCGGAAGAGGCCAAACCAAGAGUAGUAAUACUUUUGGGGUUUUGGACAGCGUACGGUAUUAACUGCGGUUAGUAGAAUGAAAUGGGAAGUUCAACCACAGAGCGUGAUAGUCGCGUACACGAAAACUAAAGUUAGCCAGCUGGAUCCAGAGUACCGCCGGACACGUGAAACCCGGUGGGAAGAUGGGGGGACCACCCUCCAAGCCUAAAUACUCUCCAAUGACCGAUAGUGUAUAGUACUGUGAAGGAAAGGUGAAAAGAACCCCUGGCGGGGAGUGAAAUAGAACCUGAAACCUUGUGCCUACAAGCACAUAGAGCGCGUCAAUGCGUGAUAUGGUACCUUUUGUAGAAUGGUCCGGCGAGUGAAUGUCACUGGCAAGGUUAAGCUCUUAAGGAGUGCAGCCGAAGCGAAAGCGAGUCUGAAAUGGGCGUAUUUAGUCAGUGGUAUUCGACCCGAAACCGGGUGACCUAGCCAUGAGCAGGCUGAAGUGGAGGUAAAACUCCAUGGAGGGCCGAACCCACUCCCGUUGAAAUGGUAGGGGAUGACUUGUGGCUAGCGGAGAAAUUCCAAUCGAACCCGGAGAUAGCUGGUUCUCUCCGAAAUAGCUUUAGGGCUAGCCUCAUUAACAUUACCGCAGGUAAAGCACUGAAUGAGCUAGGGGGCGAAAGCUUACUGAACUCUAUCAAACUCAGAAUGGCGGAUAAUGAAUGAUUGGGAGUCACACUACGUGAGAUAAGUUUCGUGGUGGAAAGGGAAACAGCCCAGACCCACAGCUAAGGUCCCAAAGUACAGUUAAGUGGAAAAGGAUGUGAAAUUGCGCAGACAACCAGGAUGUUGGCUCAGAAGCAGCCACUCAUUCAAAGAGUGCGUAAUAGCUCACUGGUCGAGUGAUUUUGCGCCGAAAAUUUAACGGGGCUAAACUGUACACCGAAGCUUGGGAAUAUACAUUUGUAUGUUGGUAGGAGAGCGUUGUGUAAGGGGUGAAGUCGUAGCGAAAGCGGCGGUGGACUUUACACAAGUGAGAAUGCCGGAAUGAGUAGCGAGAAUUAUGUGAGAAUCAUAAUGGCCGAAAGACUAAGGUUUUAGAAGGAAGGUUCGUCCGCUUCUAGUUAGCCGGGAGCUAAGGCGAGGCCGAGAGGCGUAGUCGAUGCACAUACGGUUGAGAUUCCGUAGCUACCUUGCAUUUAAGCGAAGGGACACAUUUGAAGGGCAUGACCCGGGCGUUGGUUGACCCGGGCGUAAGGGACCGAAAAUAAGUAGGGAAGCAUGCUUGGAUGGUGGCGAGAAAAGCUUCGUGUAUAUAAGCAGGGUACCCGUACUGCAAACCGACACAGGUAGUCAGGAAGAGGAUUCUAAGGCCAUCGGGAGAAGCGUUGUUAAGGAACUCGGCAAAUUGACCCCGUAACUUCGGAAUAAGGGGUGCUCACGCGAGUGAGCCGCAGUGAAUAGGUCCAGGCAACUGUUUAUCAAAAACACAGCUCUCUGCUAAAUCGUAAGAUGACGUAUAGGGGGUGACACCUGCCCGGUGCUGGAAGGUUAAGAGGAGGGGUGCAAGCUCCGAAUUGAAGCCCCAGUAAACGGCGGCCGUAACUAUAACGGUCCUAAGGUAGCGAAAUUCCUUGUCGGGUA
Molecule: ribosomal RNA, 1884 nt
Filed under: human gut metagenome
Description: bacterial LSU rRNA
Rfam family: Bacterial large subunit ribosomal RNA
Source: RNAcentral